This 1049-nucleotide long non-coding RNA is filed under the name Sarcophilus harrisii (Tasmanian devil). Its description in RNAcentral is "lncRNA (ENSSHAG00000032018.1)". Lineage: Eukaryota; Metazoa; Chordata; Mammalia; Dasyuromorphia; Dasyuridae. The record is from RNAcentral.
AGACUCCGAGCUGCUGGUUGUGUGGCUGCUGGUCGAGCUAGCUUCUUGACUCAGUUGCACACAUUGCUAUCGCCGAUUCUCUUCCACCUCCGAUCCUUCUUCACUGAGAAUAAAGACUGACGAUUUUCCCCUAACCUGAAUUCCUGUCUCGUGCUGAUCUUAAAAUAUACGAUCUUAACAUUUGGCGCCCAACGGUGGGAACCAAGGACUGAAGAAGUCUCCGGUGACCAGGAACUUGGAGGAGGAGCAGACCUUUGAAACAAAGGAGAAGACCCAAGAAAUAUCGGGUGGUGCUGUUGCUGAUUGUGCUCACCAUUGAAAGAGCGUGGCAGUUAUGGCGUUUGACUCAUGGACAUCAAAGAUUGUCGGAUUUCAAAACCCUCAGGAAUCAUUGGAUUCUCUGAGACAUAGGACUUGAAAACUCUCAGGAAUCAUUGGAUUCUCUGAGACAUAGGACUUGAAAACCCUCAGGAAUCAUUGGAUUCUCUGAGACAUAGGACUUGAAAACUCUCAGGAAUCAUUGGAUUCUCUGAGACAUAGGACUUGAAAACCCUCAGGAAUCAUUGGAUUCUCUGAGACAUAGGACUUGAAAACUCUCAGGAAUCAUUGGAUUCUCUGAGACAUAGGACUUGAAAACCCUCAGGAAUCACUGGAUUCUCUGAGAAAUGAUAAGACUGUUACAACACUUCAAAAUCUGCUGGAAUCAUUGGAUUCCCUAACACAUAAAAAGACUUUCAGGACUUCAAAAACUCAGGGGGAUCAUUGGAUUCCCUGACAUGUGAAACAAUGGACAAUAGAUUGGUUUUGGACUAUCUCUUGGCUGCUGAAGAAGGUGUAUGUGUGACUGUUGUUUACAUACCCACCUUCUAGGACUUCUGGUGAUCUUUUCCAACACCAUGUUGAUUUAUAUUGUUUGCUAUUCCGCUACUUGUGUGUACAAUUCAUGUUUGUUACACCACAUUGAGCCUGCACUGACUGAGGGGAGGGUCAUCCCUAAUAGCCUCUGCGUUAUUGCUAUGUGCUUGUGUAAUACCUCCCAUGCUGAUGGG